RNAcentral lists this ribosomal RNA (253 nucleotides) under uncultured bacterium. Its description in RNAcentral is "partial 16S ribosomal RNA". It matches the Rfam family "Bacterial small subunit ribosomal RNA", at positions 524 to 776 of the family's 1533-position model. The record is from RNAcentral.
UACGGAGGGUGCAAACGUUGCUCGGAAUCAUUGGGCGUAAAGCGCACGUAGGCGGUCCAGCAAGCGGGGAGUGAAAGCCCUCGGCUUAACCGAGGAAGUGCUUUCCGAACUACUGGACUUGAAUACUGAAGAGGAUCGCGGAAUUCCCGGUGUAGAGGUGAAAUUCGUAGAUAUCGGGAGGAACACCAGUGGCGAAGGCGGCGAUCUGGGCAGAUAUUGACGCUGAGGUGCGAAAGCGUGGGGAGCAAACAGG